Molecule: ribosomal RNA, 1495 nt
Filed under: metagenome
Description: bacterial SSU rRNA
Rfam family: Bacterial small subunit ribosomal RNA
Source: RNAcentral
AGAGUUUGAUUCUGGCUCAGAACGAACGCUGGCGGCGUGGAUAAGACAUGCAAGUCGAACGGAGCAGUGAGAUUACAUCAAGCUGUUCAGUGGCGGACGGGUGCGUAACACGUGAGUUAUCUGCCCGGAAGAUGGGGAUAGCCCAGGGAAACUUGGAUUAAUACCCUCUGUGAUCGAAAGAUUAAAGGUGCUGCAAGGUGCCGCUUCCGGAUGAGCUCGCGGCCUAUCAGCUAGUUGGCGGGGUAACGGCCCACCAAGGCUACGACGGGUAGCUGGUCUGAGAGGAUGACCAGCCACACUGGAACUGAGACACGGUCCAGACACCUACGGGUGGCAGCAGUCGAGAAUCAUUCACAAAGGGCGAAAGCCUGAUGGUGUGACGCCGCGUGGAGGAUGAAGGUCUUCGGAUUGUAAACUCCCUCAAGUGGGAGUAAUUCUGCGCGUUAACUGCGUCGCAGAUUGAGAGUACCACUAGAGGAAGAGACGGCUAACUCUGUGCCAGCAGCCGCGGUAAUACAGAGGUCUCAAGCGUUGUUCGGAAUCACUGGGCGUAAAGGGUGCGUAGGCCGCGAAGCAAGUCAGAUGUGAAAUCCCGGGGCUCAACCUCGGAAUUGCAUCCGAUACUGCAUCGCUUGAGGACUGGAGAGGAGUCUGGAAUUCAUGGUGGAGCAGUGAAAUGCGUAGAUAUCAUGAGGAACACUAGUGGCGUAGGCGAGACUCUGGACAGUUCCUGACGCUGAGGCACGAAGGCCAGGGGAGCAAACGGGAUUAGAUACCCCGGUAGUCCUGGCAGUAAACGGUGCACGCUUGGUGUGGCGGGAAUCGACCCCCGCUGUGCCGGAGCUAACGCGUUAAGCGUGCCGCCUGGGAAGUACGGUCGCUAGAUUAAAACUCAAAGAAAUUGACGGGGACCCGCACAUGCGGUGGAUUAUGUGGCUUAAUUCGAUCCCACGCGAAGAACCUUACCUGGGCUUGACAUGCAUUGUGUCAGCGGUGAAAGCCGCCUAGUGGAGCAAUCCACGCCUUGCACAGGUGCUGCAUGGCUGUCGUCAGCUCGUGUCGUGAGAUGUUGGGUUAAGUCCCGCAACGAGCGCAACCCCUGUAUUCUGUUGCCAACAGGUAAUGCUGGGAACUCUGAAUAGACUGCCUAGUUAAACUAGGAGGAAGGUGGGGACGACGUCAAGUCCGUAUGGCCCUUACGCCCAGGGCUGCACACGUACUACAAUGCCCGGUACAAUGUGAACCGGUACCGCGAGGUGGAGGAAAUCUCAAAAACCGGGCUCAGUUCAGAUUGAAGGCUGCAACUCGCCUUCAUGAAGCUGGAAUCGCUAGUAACGGCGCAUCAGCUACGGCGCCGUGAGUACGUUCCCGGGUCUUGUACACACCGCCCGUCACAUCAUGGAAGCCGGUUGCGCUCGAAGUGCCCGCGCCAACCUUUAUUGGAGGCAGGGUCCUAAAGCUUGACUGGUGACUGGGAUGAAGUCGUAACAAGGUA